CUGGGGCAACUGAAUACCAGGCUCUUGAUACAAGAGGUUGGCUGCGGCCAGCAGGCCUAUUCAACAGUGGAGAAGAGAUUUAGAUGACCGGGUCCUGUGCUGUCAUAAAGCCAGCAUUGGGAGGGAAACGGUCAUUUUUAAAGGUCAUGAUGCCACAAUUAUCUAUCGCCUCUGAGGCUUGUACUUGAUCAAUGGCUUGAAAUAAAUCUUGCAUUGCAGCUGCAGCAUUUCCUUGUGGUCUCCUCGUGGUACCUGUUUUCGCCUUGCGAGUGCUCUUUCUCCUCCACGAAAUUGAGCAUUGGAGCGG
Molecule: small RNA, 307 nt
Filed under: Histoplasma capsulatum
Lineage: Eukaryota; Fungi; Ascomycota; Eurotiomycetes; Onygenales; Ajellomycetaceae
Also listed under: 1 other name
Description: hypothetical RNA
Source: RNAcentral